GACAAGAGCUACAGGAUAGCUGUUCAUCGGCACAACGACAAGGGACCAAGACCCAUCUCAUAAGAAGCAGCAAGUUGCAAAAGGAACCACAAGAUCAAGGAGGUCCUUGGGAGAAGAAGAGAAACUGAGGCUGACUAAAGAGGUCUGUGACACAAUCCUGGUUCAUGCUAAAGAAAGGUUCUCCUUCACUGACCACCUUGUCAGUGCCACACUGCUACGAGGAGAG
Molecule: long non-coding RNA, 226 nt
Organism: Pygocentrus nattereri (red-bellied piranha)
Lineage: Eukaryota; Metazoa; Chordata; Actinopteri; Characiformes; Serrasalmidae
Exons: 3
Source: RefSeq, a predicted model, not a curated record